Long non-coding RNA from Ipomoea nil (Japanese morning glory), 173 nucleotides. RefSeq lists it as uncharacterized. The transcript has 3 exons. Lineage: Eukaryota; Viridiplantae; Streptophyta; Magnoliopsida; Solanales; Convolvulaceae. The record is from RefSeq and is a predicted model, not a curated record.
AAAAUAAGAUAUUCAAAGCAGAGAUUCGGUUGAAGGAUUGAAGUCAUUAAAGGGAUUGAAUGAGUUUGAUUGUUGAUCGCGUCUCAAUGUUGAAGUGGAGUGAUUGUUGCAUGCUUUCUUCUAAUUUUAUUCAUCAAAGUUAGGAUGGAGAGGAAUAUAGAAUAGAGAAUUCA